CAAAGUAGAACUUGAGUUAUAUUUUCUCAUUUUUUUAAGAUCUUAAAAGAUGAAUCAAUCACAUGAUACAAGCCAUCAAGCUAGCCAAGCCAUGGGACAAGCUCAAGAGAAGGGAAGCAAUAUUAUAGACAAGGCAAGCAAUGCAACUCAAUCUGUAAAUGAGUCUUGUCAAGAGGCUGGUCAGCAAAUGAAGGCAAAGGCACAAGAUGUUGCAGAUGCUGCUAAGAGUACAGUUGGUGCUCACAAAUAAAUCUACCAAAUGAAGAGCUCUAUUCAAUAACUAUUUGCAACUUUUAAUUUUCUUGAGGGAUUUUAUGGUUUUGAUUUCUUUAGUAUAUAUUUUUUUAACUUUUUCUGAUGGAUUUAUAUGGGUGUUUAAAAUCGAACCGGCCCAAUAGAAAAUCGUUAACUAAAUCAAAUCAAAUUGAAAACCGCAAAAACUGCAUUUGAUUUGAAUUAGUUCGGGUCAUUUUCUAAUAAAUCACAUGAUUUGGUUCAGUUUGCGAUUUGUAUUUUGUAAACCGAAUCAAACCAAAUCAAACUGCAUUAUGUUACAAA
Vicia villosa (hairy vetch) is the source of this 558-nucleotide long non-coding RNA. RefSeq lists it as uncharacterized. NCBI's taxonomy places the organism in Eukaryota, Viridiplantae, Streptophyta, Magnoliopsida, Fabales, Fabaceae. The record is from RefSeq and is a predicted model, not a curated record. The transcript is spliced from 3 exons.